GACGUAGGUGGCGAACGUUAUCCGGAAUUAUUGGGCGUAAAGGGUGCGUAGGUGGCCUGGCAAGUUAUUAGUGGCAAAUCGAGGCUCAACCUCGUGGAAACUAGUAAUACUGUCUGGCUUGAGUACAGGAGAGGUUAACGGAACUCUAUGUGGAGCGGUAAAAUGCACAGAUAUAUAGAAGAACAUCAAUAAAGGCGAAGGCAGUUAACUAUUCUGUUACUGACACUGAGGCACGAAAGCGUGGGGAGCAAAACGG
RNAcentral lists this ribosomal RNA (256 nucleotides) under uncultured bacterium. Its description in RNAcentral is "partial 16S ribosomal RNA". It matches the Rfam family "Bacterial small subunit ribosomal RNA", at positions 524 to 776 of the family's 1533-position model. The record is from RNAcentral.